Long non-coding RNA from Armigeres subalbatus, 472 nucleotides. RefSeq lists it as uncharacterized. The record is from RefSeq and is a predicted model, not a curated record. The transcript is spliced from 2 exons. Lineage: Eukaryota; Metazoa; Arthropoda; Insecta; Diptera; Culicidae.
GAUGGGAUGCUAUCUUUUUUCAGCCUAUAUCACCCGACGGAGAUAACGCAGCAAGGGAAAGGUGCGGACGUGGGGUGGAGUGCGGUAGGAUCUCCCCCGGACAUUGCCUCAGAUGAUAAGGGCAAUUUGCUUCGUUAUAAAAAGUGGCCGGAACCGCCGAAAGUGCAUCAGUUGACAUAAGUUGUAACUCCGUGCGUUAAGUUACCUCCCCGAGGUUUGAGCCGAAACCCCUCCCGAAACAGAUACGAUGAAAUACGUUCUAGUGACAAUCGCCCUCCUGGUACUGGCAGUGGCCCUGGUGUCCGCCCUCCCUGCCGUCCAAGAUGAAUCCCUUUUCGCCAAUCCCGUUGAAGUGCAGGAAAUAGAUGUCGUCAACCCGCAGGACCCACAGGAAUUCUUCAAACUGCGCAAACUUAAGCGCCUGCUCUUCUUGGGCUAAAUUAAGACAACUUCCAGCAACCAUACACGAAAA